UGCCCACGGGGCGCAGCAGUGAGGAAUAUUGGUCAAUGGACGCAAGUCUGAACCAGCCAUGCCGCGUGCAGGAAGACGGCUCUAUGAGUUGUAAACUGCUUUUGUACGAGGGUAAACGCAGAUACGUGUAUCUGUCUGAAAGUAUCGUACGAAUAAGGAUCGGCUAACUCCGUGCCAGCAGCCGCGGUAAUACGGGGGAUGCGAGCGUUAUCCGGAUUUAUUGGGUUUAAAGGGUGCGUAGGCGGCGCUUCAGGUCAGCGGUGAAAUACCGGGGCUCAACCCCGGGGCUGCCGUUGAAACCGGAG
RNAcentral lists this ribosomal RNA (305 nucleotides) under uncultured bacterium. RNAcentral describes it as "bacterial SSU rRNA". It matches the Rfam family "Bacterial small subunit ribosomal RNA", at positions 335 to 638 of the family's 1533-position model. The record is from RNAcentral.